RNAcentral lists this ribosomal RNA (450 nucleotides) under uncultured bacterium. RNAcentral describes it as "partial 16S ribosomal RNA". It matches the Rfam family "Bacterial small subunit ribosomal RNA", at positions 354 to 796 of the family's 1533-position model. The record is from RNAcentral.
GUGGGGAAUCUUCCGCAAUGGACGAAAGUCUGACGGAGCAACGCCGCGUGAACGAUGACGGCCUUCGGGUUGUAAAGUUCUGUUAUACGGGACGAAUGGUACGACGGCCAAUACCCGUCGUAAGUGACGGUACCGUAAGAGAAAGCCACGGCUAACUACGUGCCAGCAGCCGCGGUAAUACGUAGGUGGCAAGCGUUGUCCGGAAUUAUUGGGCGUAAAGGGCGCGCAGGCGGCGUCGUAAGUCGGUCUUAAAAGUGCGGGGCUUGACCCCGUGAGGGGACCGAAACUGCGAUGCUAGAGUAUCGGAGAGGAAAGCGGAAUUCCUAGUGUAGCGGUGAAAUGCGUAGAUAUUAGGAGGAACACCAGUGGCGAGAGCGGCUUUCUGGACGACAACUGACGCUGAGGCGCGAAAGCCAGGGGAGCAAACGGGAUUAGAUACCCCGGUAGUCC